RNAcentral lists this ribosomal RNA (463 nucleotides) under uncultured bacterium. RNAcentral's name for it is "partial 16S ribosomal RNA". It matches the Rfam family "Bacterial small subunit ribosomal RNA", at positions 339 to 795 of the family's 1533-position model. The record is from RNAcentral.
CUACGGGUGGCUGCAGUGGGGAAUAUUGCACAAUGGGCGCAAGCCUGAUGCAGCCAUGCCGCGUGUAUGAAGAAGGCCUUCGGGUUGUAAAGUACUUUCAGCGGGGAGGAAGGGAGUAAAGUUAAUACCUUUGCUCAUUGACGUUACCCGCAGAAGAAGCACCGGCGAACUCCGUGCCAGCAGCCGCGGUAAUACGGAGGGUGCAAGCGUUAAUCGGAAUUACUGGGCGUAAAGCGCACGCAGGCGGUUUGUUAAGUCAGAUGUGAAAUCCCCGGGCUCAACCUGGGAACUGCAUCUGAUACUGGCAAGCUUGAGUCUCGUAGAGGGGGGUAGAAUUCCAGGUGUAGCGGUGAAUGCGUAGAGAUCUGGAGGAAUACCGGUGGCGAAGGCGGCCCCCUGGACGAAGACUGACGCUCAGGUGCGAAAGCGUGGGGAGCAAACAGGAUUAGAUACCCGCGUAGUC